AGUGGAAAUGACUAUGGACAUCCAGUGUCAUUUUAAAAACAACAUGGAUACAUGGAGUUUUGUCCUGGUUUGAAAUUGCUUGAUACACACACACACACACACACACACACACACACACACAUAUACACUUUUCUUUGAAUUGCCAUUAUGUCAGUGCUUAGGGGGAAAUAUGUACAUUUAUUUCCAGAACCCAGAAUUCACUAACAUAAAUGCUUGUAUCACAGAUCCCAUAAAGCACUGAGACAAUCCCUCCAAACUUGUGACUAGUCAGGAUUUUGUAAACAAAAUCAAAGUGGGUAAGCCCUUACUUUUGAUUUGUUAUGUAGACACUUAGCCUUGCAAAUCAUCAUUGCUUGGGAUCAAAGGAGAGACUCUGAGAACAUCUACUAUUUGUUAGCAAGCCGCCUGUGGUAAUCAGUUUAGAGCACAAUCACUCGGCCAAAAUGAACAGAAUUUUCACCAAAUCUCACCUCUCACCCAACCGAACUGGAGUAGCCCUUGAACUCUGAGCACUGCUCUCCAGGGCAACGUAACUGUGAGCCUAUGUUCAUCAAUGACAAGGCAUACACGCUCUCUCCACUUUUACUCUGUUUCAGUCUGAUUGUUAUGAUGUUGCUAUGGUGAUACCCUUCUGACAUUCCUUUGCUCUUUUGGUGCCCUCUCAGAGGAAUCUGUAAUGAAGUGGUCUGGCCACAGAAUCUUUCUGGGACUUUUCCCAUACACCACUGAAGACCAGCAUGACUUUCCUCUUCCAGGAAAUGAGACGUCACCCCAAGGGACAGUGGGUCUUCUGGAUUCAGUGUGGAGUGUAACACGCACUGAGAGCUGGGACAGCUUACUCUCCCAGGGGAGGGGCUGUGUGAGGGUGGCUGAGAAUGACUGGAAGGAGGAGGACACAGGUUUUUGAGCACUUACCUGAUAGCACUUAAAAUGACAGGUACUCUGCUAAGCACGUUACAUGAAGCCCUCCAUUGAGUCCGUACAAUUACGUGUGUCAUUUACCUCAUUUUAUGAAACGAAGUAAGCUGACU
This 1031-nucleotide long non-coding RNA is filed under the name Bos mutus (wild yak). RNAcentral's name for it is "lncRNA (ENSBMUG00000000458.1)". Lineage: Eukaryota; Metazoa; Chordata; Mammalia; Artiodactyla; Bovidae. The record is from RNAcentral.